Molecule: microRNA precursor, 61 nt
Filed under: Callorhinchus milii (elephant shark)
Lineage: Eukaryota; Metazoa; Chordata; Chondrichthyes; Chimaeriformes; Callorhinchidae
Description: Cmi-Mir-26-P1_pre stem-loop
Rfam family: mir-26 microRNA precursor family
About the family: The hairpin precursors (represented here) are predicted based on base pairing and cross-species conservation -- their extents are not known. In this case the mature sequence is excised from the 5' arm of the hairpin.
Source: RNAcentral
UUCAAGUAAUCCAGGAUAGGCUGUGUAUCUCCUGGUUGGCCUAUUCUCGAUUACUUGCACU